GGGUUUAUAUGGACAUAUUUCACUUACAGGACUGGAAGCAGGUGCAAAAACAAGAUUCUUCUAUUCCUUUCUCUUUGAACAUGGAGCAAUGCUGCAAUAAAUCCAAUUGGACCAAAGAGUCAGCAGCAUGUAGGAUUGCAUCUCAGAGGAAGACAAUUAAAAAACCUGGUACUGGAGCAAAUAUUAAACAAGCAAAGGAGAAAAAGGAAUGUAUAAUGGCAACUGAGAAGAGAUAAUGCCAUAAAAGAAUAUAAUGUCAAUAGCCAUGGAUUCCUGACAAGGAUUAAAAGAGAAGCCAAGAAAAUGAAUAGUUGCACUGCAGAGCUUCAGACUCCAAAUCAGCCUAUCUUACAGUCUGACCUGCUGUCCAUACUACCUACCUCCUUCCUAAUUGGGUAACACCCCAUUUAAUACAUUUAUGAGGUGCAUCAGAGAGUUUGAGUACAAGGGAUAAUACCAUGUUUUUUAUCCUAAAGCUGGUUCACAGAUAGAUUCUCUGCUUGCAAGCAUUGCUCUGGACUGUUGUGAAUAAUUUCUCUUGUGCAUAUUACUGAAUAAUACUAAACAGAACAUUAUUUCUGGUUAAAAAUGUGUUCCAAAUUAGUAAUGUAUUAGAGCAAUAACCAAUAAAAAUGUUUGCCUAUGCAAAAAGACCA
Long non-coding RNA from Pseudophryne corroboree (corroboree frog), 656 nucleotides. RefSeq lists it as uncharacterized. Lineage: Eukaryota; Metazoa; Chordata; Amphibia; Anura; Myobatrachidae. The record is from RefSeq and is a predicted model, not a curated record. The transcript has 2 exons.